CUGCAUCCGCCCCCCAUCCCUAUAAUUUAGGGAAACUUUUAAGGUUUUCAUGAAAAACCUCCCCCCAUCCCAAUCCCUAAAAUGGGGAUGAAGUAUAGGGGUGCUACAGAAGUUUCCCAUAUAUGGGGAACGACUGUACAUCCCCAUCGCUCCUGCCCCAACGAUUCUCUCCUUCGUCGCGCGCCUUCUUCUCCCUUCCCUCCCUCGCAACGCAGCACCAACGAGCACCUCUCUUCUCCUGGCGAAGAGGGAGUUGAUGUCGUCGGCACCAUGGAGGGGCAAAGAGGAGGCUGUCGAGGAGUUUCGGGAUGUAAAGCUCAAAGUCACGAAGUAGCCUCGAGUCGAAUCGGUGAUGCGCGUCCCUCGAAGAAAGAACGACAAGUCCAAACGCCACGACCUCAAAGAUGAUGAUUCCCUUGUCAAGAUUGACCCCCAGCUCUGUUACAUCUUUCAGCUUUCUUCAACCUGUUGUGAAACCUCUUCCACCUACCAUGGCCUAUAAUAUCUCCCGCAACUUGAGCUUCUUCACGCCCAUUUUCAUGCAGUUCUUUGAUCCAGAAGGCAUUGGAAAGGCCCAGAAAUCACUUGGGAUGGGACAGGAAGAAAAAGCUCGCUGUGUUCAAUGAAAAGGGAGGGGAGUCAAGCAAGACAGUUGAGGGCAUGUGGCUUAACUCAUGGUUUCUGACAGUGUCAAGAACUGUUUUAAUUCUUCACGACUGACAGUGCCAAGGCUUAACGAUUUGUUUUCCUUUUGUGUUCUGUUUUGUUGCGGAUGAAAUGUAUAUAGAUGAAAAUAUUCUAUUUGGUUUCGGAUGAAAUGCUGGAGAUUAAAAUUACUAGGUUUGUUUUUGAUAUAGAAACAAUGAUGAAAAUCUCGCUGCUUUGUGGA
Molecule: long non-coding RNA, 889 nt
Organism: Carya illinoinensis
Lineage: Eukaryota; Viridiplantae; Streptophyta; Magnoliopsida; Fagales; Juglandaceae
Exons: 4
Source: RefSeq, a predicted model, not a curated record